GGCUUAACACUUCCCUCAUGGCUAUUGAAGAUUACUGGAGAUAUAAUUGAGCCGCUUUUUAAAGAAACUGAUGAAGCAAACCAGAAUGACGCAAACCCUGAUUUAAGAUUGUUAUUCUUUAUAUAUUCAGAAAGUUUUUCAACUUCAUGAUUUCUUUUAUCUAAUGAAAUGGCGUUACCAUAAAUGACAGCCCCGCUAACAAUCGCUAAAACAAAUAGAUAGAUUGACAUCUUAUAAUCUAUGUUUACAUUUCUACAAACAAACACAGAACCGAAAACCACAGAUGGAGCAAUAUAUCUAAU
Molecule: unclassified non-coding RNA, 302 nt
Filed under: uncultured fungus
Lineage: Eukaryota; Fungi
Description: partial internal transcribed spacer 1
Source: RNAcentral